RNAcentral lists this transfer RNA (45 nucleotides) under Chlamydomonas euryale. Its description in RNAcentral is "partial Selenocysteine transfer RNA". The record is from RNAcentral. Lineage: Eukaryota; Viridiplantae; Chlorophyta; Chlorophyceae; Chlamydomonadales; Chlamydomonadaceae.
GUUUGUAGCUUGGUCUUCAAACCCAACGGGGGGCGUAAGAGCUCC